Molecule: transfer RNA, 71 nt
Filed under: Loxodonta africana (African savanna elephant)
Lineage: Eukaryota; Metazoa; Chordata; Mammalia; Proboscidea; Elephantidae
Rfam family: tRNA
About the family: Transfer RNA (tRNA) molecules are approximately 80 nucleotides in length. Their secondary structure includes four short double-helical elements and three loops (D, anti-codon, and T loops).
Source: Rfam by way of RNAcentral
GCAGUGGUGGUUCAGUUGUAGAAUCCUCACCUUCCAUGCGGGAGACCAGGGUUUGAAUCCUGGCCAGUACA